UACAUGGGGUGCAAACGUUGCUCGGAAUUAUUGGGCGUAAAGCGCACGUAGGCGGUUUGUUAAGUCGGAUGUGAAAGCCCUGGGCUUAACCUAGGAAGUGCAUUCGAAACUCCCGAGCUUGAGUUCUGGAGAGGAAGGCGGAAUUCUCGGUGUAGAGGUGAAAUUCGUAGAUAUCGAGAGGAACACCGGUGGCGAAGGCGGCCUUCUGGACAGUGACUGACGCUGAGACGCGAAAGCGUGGGGAGCAAACAGG
This 253-nucleotide ribosomal RNA is filed under the name uncultured bacterium. RNAcentral describes it as "partial 16S ribosomal RNA". It matches the Rfam family "Bacterial small subunit ribosomal RNA", at positions 524 to 776 of the family's 1533-position model. The record is from RNAcentral.